Molecule: small RNA, 132 nt
Filed under: Klebsiella michiganensis
Lineage: Bacteria; Pseudomonadati; Pseudomonadota; Gammaproteobacteria; Enterobacterales; Enterobacteriaceae
Description: RtT sRNA
Rfam family: RtT RNA
About the family: This family represents a bacterial cis-regulatory element known as RtT RNA.
Source: RNAcentral
UGCAUCUGAAGUUUGUGAGGAUGAGAACCUCCGGGGGUAGAGGUUCGACUCGAGCGGAGCGAGAGAACGUUGCGUCAGCAACGGCCCGAAGGGCGAGCCACGUAGUGGCGAGUUAUCCUCUAUCACCGACCA